GCACACCCGAUGCCCGGGGGUCGCUACGGACUUAAAAUCUCCGCACCGCACCCUCCACCUCAGAAACGUUCCUGGAUCCGAACACUGCCCCCUGACGACCUAGAGAGAUCCCGGCUCCCAGCCCACUGAGUGGCUUCAGCCUCGCUGGUAGGUCUCUCCUCCAAAGCUCUGGAAACAGACUCCUGGGAGUGAGAGGGAGGGGAGCGCAGGCACCGCCCCCUUUCCCCAAGUCCCCCGCCCACUUCAUCCCUCAGGCACCUCCCAACUCCUGGCCUCUCUGCACGAGGCGCCUGCCCCGGGCCCCGCCUACAGGGGACCCAGCUCUUCUUGCAGCCACUGGAAGCUGAUCACCUGGAGUGAAGACCUCACACGUGAGUUUCCCUCUGUUUAGGUUAAACUUGGGCUUCCCAGGCUCCUGCACAUCCAGACUCGAUUUGCAGGAGUCCUCAGAGACAUAUGUGUAUAUAUGAGUGAUUGUAGUUCACUGCAGCCUGGACCUCCUGGGCUCAAGCGAUCCUCCCACCUCAGCCUCCUGAGUAGCUGGGACCACCGGUGUGUACCACCACCACGUUUAAAUAAUUUUUUUUAUAUAUAUUUAGUAGAGAGGAAGUCUCACUGUGUUGCCUGAGCUGGUCUCGAAUUUGUGGGCUCAAGUGAUCCUCCCGCUUCGGCUGGGAUUACAGCCCACGAAGUGCUGGGAUUACAGGCAUGAGCCGUCACUCCGGACCCUAUAGACCUUAGUAUCCCCUC
RNAcentral lists this long non-coding RNA (750 nucleotides) under Homo sapiens (human). RNAcentral's name for it is "non-protein coding lnc-ZNF415-4:7". The record is from RNAcentral. Lineage: Eukaryota; Metazoa; Chordata; Mammalia; Primates; Hominidae.